Molecule: long non-coding RNA, 856 nt
Organism: Haplochromis burtoni (Burton's mouthbrooder)
Lineage: Eukaryota; Metazoa; Chordata; Actinopteri; Cichliformes; Cichlidae
Exons: 3
Source: RefSeq, a predicted model, not a curated record
UGGCGUUAGCCCGUAUAAAGCUAAGCCGGUGUUUUUGUUGGAUCAUUCCUCCCGUGCAUUCGGUGCAAAGCAGCAGUAAAUGCUGGCACACUGCGACGGACUGAUCAACAAGAGCAGAUCAUAUGACAGCUACAGGUAUGCUCUCGCUUAACCUCAGAUUCCCUCCGAGUACUGGAAUUUGUGUUAAUAUAGUUUUUGCGGCCUGUUGUAGCGCGGCAGUUUGUUCUACUCCGACGUUGCGGAGAGAGGUGCUCGUGUUAUCCCCACCAGUGAGAGUAUAGUGCCUCCGGUCCUGGGGGUUUGACUGCUGUAUUCACCUCUCCGUGGCAAAUCGCCCAACCUAAAUCGGAAGAGUGAAACGCCUUCCCAGCCGCUGUUGUGAGGACUCCUCCUCAGUGGAGCCUGCUGUCUCGUCUUGUCUUGCCUUGUCUUGUCUCAUCUUAUCGUGUUUUUAAUAAGUAGGCUUACCUUUUUCUGGUUUGCCUGGUUUUAUUCUGGACUGUUGCUUGUACCCACGCUUCUGUGAUCGGGCUGAAGCGACCCUCUGCCCGAGUGUGGUGCUGGGACUUUAAAUCGCCUUGGUUGCCGGUCUCAGCCGGUGGGGAGCCAGACCGGCUUGCGAUUGAGAAUAAUUACUACCAGCACGAGUGUGAACGGAGGACGUGCCAGUGGCCCUGGGACCUCAGGUGGUGGGUCGUUUUCACACUUUCUUUUGUACAGCACCGGGUGGGCUGCAGUGAUUUUCUUUUUGUGUGAUUUUCUUUUGGUUCCACGGCUGCUGGUAAGUCCAAGUUCCAUGAUUGUUUUAUUUUCACUUUAGGACACUGUCAACAAUGACGCUCACAUCUUGGUUUUU